Molecule: ribosomal RNA, 549 nt
Filed under: uncultured bacterium
Lineage: Bacteria
Description: bacterial SSU rRNA
Rfam family: Bacterial small subunit ribosomal RNA
Source: RNAcentral
GGGGAAUCUUCCGCAAUGAACGAAAGUCUGACGGAGCAACGCCGCGUGAGUGAUGACGGCCUUCGGGUUGUAAAGCUCUGUUAAUCGGGACGAAAGGCCUUCUUGCGAAUAGUUAGAAGGAUUGACGGUACCGGAAUAGAAAGCCACGGCUAACUACGUGCCAGCAGCCGCGGUAAUACGUAGGUGGCAAGCGUUGUCCGGAAUUAUUGGGCGUAAAGCGCGCGCAGGCGGAUUGGUCAGUCUGUCUUAAAAGUUCGGGGCUUAACCCCGUGAUGGGAUGGAAACUGCCAAUCUAGAGUAUCGGAGAGGAAAGUGGAAUUCCUAGUGUAGCGGUGAAAUGCGUAGAUAUUAGGAAGAACACCAGUGGCGAAGGCGACUUUCUGGACGAAAACUGACGCUGAGGCGCGAAAGCCAGGGGAGCGAACGGGAUUAGAUACCCCGGUAGUCCUGGCCGUAAACGAUGGGUACUAGGUGUAGGAGGUAUCGACCCCUUCUGUGCCGGAGUUAACGCAAUAAGUACCCCGCCUGGGGAGUACGACCGCAAGGUUG